Molecule: ribosomal RNA, 299 nt
Filed under: uncultured Streptococcus sp.
Lineage: Bacteria; Bacillati; Bacillota; Bacilli; Lactobacillales; Streptococcaceae
Description: partial 16S ribosomal RNA
Rfam family: Bacterial small subunit ribosomal RNA
Source: RNAcentral
GUGAAGUGCGGGCCAGGUGGCGAGGUAAGACGUGGGAGGCAAGCGUGAGACGGAAUCAUUGGGUUUAAAGGGUGCGGAGUCUGCCGUAUAUGUCAGGGGUGAAAGUUUUUGGCUUAACUAAAAAAUGGUCAUUGAUAAUGUAGGUGUUGAAUUAGUGUGAAGUAACUAGAAUAUGUAGUGUAGCGGUGAAAUGCUUAGAUAUGACAUGGAAUACCAAUUGCGAAGGCAGGUUACUAACAAUAUAUUGACGCUGAUGGACGAAAGCGUGGGUAGCGAAAAGGAUUAGAUACGCGAUAGUC